RNAcentral lists this ribosomal RNA (484 nucleotides) under uncultured bacterium. RNAcentral describes it as "partial 16S ribosomal RNA". It matches the Rfam family "Bacterial small subunit ribosomal RNA", at positions 30 to 507 of the family's 1533-position model. The record is from RNAcentral.
AUUGAACGCUGGCGGCAUGCCUUACACAUGCAAGUCGAACGGCAGCACGGGAGCAAUCCUGGUGGCGAGUGGCGAACGGGUGAGUAAUACAUCGGAACGUGCCCAAUCGUGGGGGAUAACGCAGCGAAAGCUGUGCUAAUACCGCAUACGAUCUACGGAUGAAAGCAGGGGACCGCAAGGCCUUGCGCGAAUGGGGCGGCCGAUGGCAGAUUAGGUAGUUGGUGGGGUAAAGGCUCACCAAGCCAACGAUCUGUAGCUGGUCUGAGAGGACGACCAGCCACACUGGGACUGAGACACGGCCCAGACUCCUACGGGAGGCAGCAGUGGGGAAUUUUGGACAAUGGGCGCAAGCCUGAUCCAGCCAUGCCGCGUGCAGGAUGAAGGCCUUCGGGUUGUAAACUGCUUUUGUACGGAACGAAACGGCCUUUUCUAAUAAAGAGGGCUAAUGACGGUACCGUAAGAAUAAGCACCGGCUAACUACGUG